RNAcentral lists this ribosomal RNA (214 nucleotides) under uncultured Tricholomataceae. Its description in RNAcentral is "partial large subunit ribosomal RNA". It matches the Rfam family "Eukaryotic large subunit ribosomal RNA", at positions 40 to 251 of the family's 3401-position model. The record is from RNAcentral. Lineage: Eukaryota; Fungi; Basidiomycota; Agaricomycetes; Agaricales; Tricholomataceae.
AUAUCAAUAAGCGGAGGAAAAGAAACUAACAAGGAUUCCCCUAGUAACUGCGAGUGAAGCGGGAAAAGCUCAAAUUUAAAAUCUGGCGGUCUCCGGCUGUCCGAGUUGUAAUCUAGAGAAGUGUUACUCGUGCUGGACCGUGUAAACGUCUCCUGGAAUGGAGCAUCAUAGAGGGUGAGAAUCCCGUCUUUGACAGGACUGCCGUUGCAUGUGU